GGAGGGAUGGCCGAGCGGUUGAAGGCGGCGGUCUUGAAAACCGCUAACCUGAAUAAGGUUCGUGGGUUCGAACCCCACUCCCUCCGCCG
RNAcentral lists this transfer RNA (89 nucleotides) under Candidatus Latescibacterota bacterium. RNAcentral describes it as "Candidatus Latescibacteria bacterium tRNA-Ser". It matches the Rfam family "tRNA". From Rfam's summary of the family: Transfer RNA (tRNA) molecules are approximately 80 nucleotides in length. Their secondary structure includes four short double-helical elements and three loops (D, anti-codon, and T loops). Further hydrogen bonds mediate the characteristic L-shaped molecular structure. tRNAs have two regions of fundamental functional importance: the anti-codon, which is responsible for specific mRNA codon recognition, and the 3' end, to which the tRNAs corresponding amino acid is attached (by aminoacyl-tRNA synthetases). tRNAs cope with the degeneracy of the genetic code in two manners: having more than one tRNA (with a specific anti-codon) for a particular amino acid; and 'wobble' base-pairing, i.e. permitting non-standard base-pairing at the 3rd anti-codon position. Lineage: Bacteria; Pseudomonadati; Candidatus Latescibacterota. The record is from RNAcentral.